This 3957-nucleotide long non-coding RNA is filed under the name Heterocephalus glaber (naked mole-rat). Its description in RNAcentral is "lncRNA (ENSHGLG00000034636.1)". The record is from RNAcentral. Lineage: Eukaryota; Metazoa; Chordata; Mammalia; Rodentia; Bathyergidae.
CACCGCUGUCCUGCACCCUGUUCUGGGCACUUCUGCAGGUCGCUUUCCUCUGGGUGCACUCCGCCCUGCUGCAGCCAAAGCCGCCCAUGUCACCGGGCCGAGUCUGUAGGCCAAAACUGGCUUAAAAGUGCAGCUGACGUUCUGUGGCCCAGCGGGCUCCUGCCCGCUCCUCGCCCUGCCAACCGGCUCCUGUCCACAGUUUGUCCUGCAAACACCACGGACUCGGCUUCCACCUGUGGCUCAGGCACCAGCUCAUUGCUCAAACUCCGGAAGUUACUUGACCUCGCCAGGCACAGGGCACACACCUGUCAUCCCAGCACUCCCGAGGCUGAGGCAGGAAAAUUGCUAUGAGUUCAAGGAGAGGCCUGGGAUGUAGCUCAGUGGUUCCACUGCCUGCCUCGAAAGCACAAGGACCCGAGUUUGAUCCCCGGUACCAUUAAAAAAAAAAAAGAAAAGGAUUUAGAUUCAAGGUACAAGAUCCCAAUGAUGAGUGAAACUGUAUUUUAUACCUAAAAUGUACCAAUAAACUUAAUGGAAAAAAAAUAAGUUCGACGAGAGAGAGAGACAGAGAGAGAAACUUGACCUCUUUGAGGUUUCUUCUUAGGGAAAUGGAGAUAAAAUAUAUAUGAUUUUAGUGACUGAAAAGAUUGGCAUUUGAAGCCCAAUAAGAAAAAUGGACCGUUUGCUGCAUGAUAUUAGGACAUUUGAAUAAAUAAACACAUCUCUGCCUCACUCUAAGCAUGGAAUAAAUUGCAGAUAGAUCAAAGCUCAAAUGAGAAAGAUUAGGCUGAGUGUGGUGAUGCAUACCGGUAAUUCCAGCACUCGGGAGGCUGAGCCAGGAGGAUCACCGUGGAGACCAGCCUGGACUACACAAGUGAGUUCAAGGCCAGCCCAAACUGCACAGCAAGACCCUGUCUAAAAAAAAAAAAAGUGAAACUUUAAAGCGUUAGAAGAGAUUGGGAGAGAUUGUCUUGAGAUUGGGAGAGCCUUUCCAAGCAUGAGAUCACUCAGAGCCAAGCUCUUAUACAGGAAUUGAUCGACAAAUGUGAUUAUGUGAAAGUUAAAACUUCUAACGAAUGAGGAAAGGAGAGUGGAAGACACACAAGCUGAUGUGUGUGUGAGAGACAGAGAGAAAGCAGGCCCGGAGGAUGUGAGCAGCAUCCAGGCCGGGCCAGGUGCACUUCCGGAAUAGGUGCGGAGCUCUGACCACUCCACAGGGAAAAGACUCGCAAAAGGGGCGCAUGCGCACUGACCACACUCUUGCGGGGCAGUGCAGGUGUGCAGGGGACUAUCGUAGGUCACGCCUGCCUCCCCAGGCAGGGCCAGAGGCUGCAACUCCAACCCGCACGCCUCCCCACCCCUGCAGCCAGCUCCCCCGAGCGCACAGCGGCCCUGGCUUCUCCUCUCUGCACCCCACGGGGCGUGAGGCCCCGCGGCCCCGCCGCUUCCUGCUGUCUGUCUGGCUCUUCUGACUCCUGGAGGACACGACCGACCGAGCAGUAGCAGGGCCGGGCUGGGACCCCGGGACCGCCCCCCACCUCGGGUCUCCAGGCAGGUGUCUCCUGAGGCCAGGCCCAGAGAGACACUGGGGGCAGAAGAGCGGUUCCCAGCAGGGGGCGGGGGGGGGGCCUUCCAGGCAGAUGACCUAAUCGCGGCCUGGCCCCAGCCUGGGGCGCUGGCCACGCCCGUGAGCCGUCCGGCCUGAUUCACCAGCGCUGCUGAGUCACGCGGAGUGUGGAGCUGGCCGUGCUGCUCGCGUGCAGGACUGCGGCUGCGCUGCCUGGCCCAAAUGUGCCUGGGUCUGGGGUCGCUCAGGCUCCCCGGGACGAUCCCUCAGCCCCGCGUGGCCACUUCCGGCCUCUUGGCCGUGCUCUCUGCUGCUGCAGGGGCCGGUGCCGAGAGCUCUCCUCCUUUAUGCUCCCCGAACACUGGUGCCCAGCGCCCUGCAGGUGGCGGUCCCUCGGCCCAGUUGCCCCCUGUGCUUUGCAGCUGAGCCCUCGAGGCCCAUGGAGCUGCCUGCCGUGUCCACCUUGUCACAGGGGGCCACCAGGCUGCCUGAGGGGAGUCCUGUGAGGAAGCUGGCCCUGCCGCAGCUGUGGUGCCAGCGCUCCCAGCAGCUCAGCCAGUCCGAGGGGAGCCUGGGCCGAGAGUGCCGAGGGCGGAGGAAACAGCUGGCCGCGUCCUUGGGACUGUGCAGCUCCGCUGUGGCUGCAGCUUCUUCCGGUGGCUUCUCCCGGUGUGCAGGCUGCUGGGGACCUGUUGCCCCUGGUUGAGGACUCGGUCACAUGGGUCCCACCCGAGGCCUCUUUGUACUCGGCUGUCUGCAAUGACUCCGUUUUCUAACGAAGUCCGGGUCACAGGCGCUGAGGGGUCACAAGUCCUGAAGGUCACAGGCACUGGGAGUCAUAAAUCCUGUGGUCACAGGUCCUGGGGUCAGGAUCUCACAAGGUCUUGGUGGGCACCAUCAAGCUGUCCCACAUGUGCCAUCUUUUUUUUUUCGAGACAGGGUCUCCUAUGUAGGCCAGGCUGGCCUUGAACUCACUGCAGUCCUCCUGCCUCAGCCUCCUGAGUGCUGGGAUUACAGGCGUGUGCCACCUCAUCCAACCCCUCUUGUCCUGUUGCUGCAGUCCCCAAACCCCAGCCAGGUGACCUAUGCCGGCCCUAGCCCCAGGCUUGUCUGUUUCCUCCUGAUUCCUUUCUUCCUUCCUCCCCAGGCUGAGCACUGAACUCAACCCGCAGGACACUCCACGCCAGCGAUACCUCCUCCCAGCGCUGCUGGCCACAAACUCCUGGUCACCUGCUUCAGGGGCCUCUGGGAGUUUGCUGCGGUCUGCCUGGCCGGGUGCAUGUAUAACGUUCACUUACGAGGUGGCAGCCAGCACUUACUGAGCGCCUCUGCACUUCCGGCGUCCUGCUGGCCCUUGACAAACAGCCGUGGGUGGCUCCCGCCAGCUGCUGGGAGUCCUUUCUUCGCUGGUAGCAGCACCACUGUGCAGCCCUGGUGCUGGCUAAGCCUGCCCCACACCUUGUCCUUAACCGGGGUAUGGACAUCAGCACCCCACAGCCGAUGGAGCAACCAGGAGCAUCGGCUGGGAGCCCCUUGACGGGAGCUGGGCGCACAGUGGGGCCUGGCAGAUUCCGGUCAGGGGGCACCCCAUCCUGAAGGCGGGUCCUAGGGUGGUCAGGCUGGGGCAGCACCCAGGCCAGCACAAGCAAGGUGCCGGGCGUUCGAGGACUCAGGACAGGUGGGGAGGCCUGGUCUCCGCUGCAGGCCAAGGCUGCUCCCCGCCCCUCCCAGCGAGCCCGAGGUGCCCUGCUCAUCCUGGGCUGGGAACAGUGAGCCAGCAAAAUUCCCGACAAGCCUGGGCUGGAGAGAACUGGCGAGGCCUCUGCUGAGUCUCAGUCGGUCGGGCCCGAAGCCUGCGGCAGAAAACGAGCCAGGUGUCGCCUGCGUUGUCAGCUUCACCUGCAUGGGGACAUCCCUGGUCAGCUCUCCCUGUGGUCUGCAGGAUCCAGGCAGCUAUGAAAGGGCCGGAAGCAGUGUGAGCCCAGCCGUGCCCAGGGCCCCUCUGCUGGCUUCAAACUCUGCCCCUCCCUGGCUGGGCCGGCUGUGAGCCAGAAUGGAGCUCCUGGUUCCCCAGCUCACCCCCCUCCUCCAGGACAGGACAGGCCCAGGAGACAGGAGGGAAACCGAGGCAUGGGAGCGCAUCCUGUCGUGUCUGCAGUGCUGGAGAGGACGUCACUGUGAGCAGCUCCAAGCGCCAGAGCCUCCGAGGCUCCGGCAGAGCCAGGCUGGUGGUGAGGGCUACAGACCGCCGGCCCAGACUUCAGGAACACACCAUCCCUCUGGGCUGAGACUGCAGGUCUGUGAUCCGGGCAUUCGCAGAGACUGAGAGCAGCGUCCCCACUCUGUCCUGGCCAUCAGCAGCAUCUCAGCCUUCAUGUGUACGGUGUCCC